This 29-nucleotide non-coding RNA is filed under the name Homo sapiens (human). The record is from RNAcentral. Lineage: Eukaryota; Metazoa; Chordata; Mammalia; Primates; Hominidae.
GGCUUGAUCAGUGCAGUCCAGCAGUUGUU